GUUCCCAGUGGCUUCCACUUUGUUAUAAUGACACUAACAGUUGACUGUAGAAUAUUUAGCAGGAAGGAAAUUUCAUGACUGGACUUGUUGCACAGGUGGCAUCCUAUCACGGUACUAUGCUGGAAUUCACUGAGCUCCUGAGAGCGACCCAUUUCACAAAUGUUUGUAGAAGCAACCUGUAUGCCUAGGUGCUUCAUUUUAUACUCCUGUGGCCAUGGAAGUGAUUGGAACACCUGAAUUCAAUGAUUUAGAUGGGUGAGUAAAUAGUUUUGGCAAUAUAGUCAGUCUCUGUGUAAGCUUUCAAUCAGCCAAGUUCAAGUGCUUACCAUGACUGGUAGGCACUGAAUUGAACGCAACUGGACUUUUUUCCUAUGUUGUUUUUCACUUUUCAUCUGAGAAGCUCAUACAGUUCUAAUGGGGAGUACUAGGUAUAUAGUGAGGUGGUCCAUGUGAGCCAGGUGACCUUGAUAACUCAGAUGAUGACAGAGAUUGUCCAACUCUUCAGAACACCUGGUUCUCCCAUCAGAUUCUCAGGUGAAAGCUGAAAUGUUUUUAUGAAUGUAGAAAGAAGUCCAGUUGGCUUGGACUCAUGUCGAGCUCAUUUCUUCACACAGUGGGCUAAACUGAAGCCAAGCUGCUUGAAAGAGAUCGAAUUCCCAGGUAAAACAUUGCUGCUAGGAGGACUUUAAAAAUGUAAGGACAUUUGUCCUGUAAAGCCUUUAUAAGUAGAAAUCUACCAAAAAAAAAUGUCAAAGCUUAAUUUUGAUCUCAACUACACACUUAUAAUUUUGUGUAAGCUUUUGAUACAUUGGCAAAAUGUGUCCAUGGACACACAGAUAUGUUCCACAAGUACACCAAACUACUUUUUUUUGUCAUUUCUAAUACUAAUACAUAUCUGCAGGUCAUCACCAAAUUUUGCCCUGAUGAUGCAAACGAACACACACAGACUUAAGCACACUGCAAACAUACUGAGAAAGAGCAUGGAGGGCACAGAUUUAAAAAUAAAGCAGUGGUGUAACUAAUAGCAGU
Molecule: long non-coding RNA, 1029 nt
Filed under: Oreochromis niloticus (Nile tilapia)
Lineage: Eukaryota; Metazoa; Chordata; Actinopteri; Cichliformes; Cichlidae
Description: lncRNA (ENSONIG00000031530.1)
Source: RNAcentral